This 465-nucleotide ribosomal RNA is filed under the name uncultured Klebsiella sp. RNAcentral's name for it is "bacterial SSU rRNA". It matches the Rfam family "Bacterial small subunit ribosomal RNA", at positions 338 to 795 of the family's 1533-position model. The record is from RNAcentral. Lineage: Bacteria; Pseudomonadati; Pseudomonadota; Gammaproteobacteria; Enterobacterales; Enterobacteriaceae.
CCUACGGGUGGCUGCAGUGGGGGAUAUUGCACAUUGGGCGCAAGCCUGAUGCAGCCAUGCCGCGUGUGUGAAGAAGGCCUUCGGGUUGUAAAGCACUUUCAGCGGGGAGGAAGGCGGUGAGGUUAAUAACCUCAUCGAUUGACGUUACCCGCAGAAGAAGCACCGGCUAACUCCGUGCCAGCAGCCGCGGUAAUACGGAGGGUGCAAGCGUUAAUCGGAAUUACUGGGCGUAAAGCGCACGCAGGCGGUCUGUCAAGUCGGAUGUGAAAUCCCCGGGCUCAACCUGGGAACUGCAUUCGAAACUGGCAGGCUAGAGUCUUGUAGAGGGGGGUAGAAUUCCAGGUGUAGCGGUGAAAUGCGUAGAGAUCUGGAGGAAUACCGGUGGCGAAGGCGGCCCCCUGGACAAAGACUGACGCUCAGGUGCGAAAGCGUGGGGAGCAAACAGGAUUAGAUACCCUUGUAGUC